UUUCCGUAGGUGAACCUGCGGAAGGAUCAUUAACGAAUUGCAAGGAGGGUUCGAUGCUGACACCGCAAGGUGUACGUGCUCGCCCUCCGACAAUUUUAUCCAUACACCUGUGCACAUAUCUGAUGAGAGGGAAAGGAAGGGAGUCGACGCAAGUCCCUCUCGACUGGACUCUCUCUAAACACAAACUCUAUCUAAAUCUUGAACGUGAUUCGGCCGAAAGGCCAAAUAAUCUAUACAACUUUUAACAACGGAUCUCUUGGCUCUCGCAUCGAUGAAGAACGCAGC
RNAcentral lists this unclassified non-coding RNA (285 nucleotides) under uncultured fungus. Its description in RNAcentral is "sequence contains ITS1, 5.8S rRNA gene". The stretch from base 237 to 285 matches the Rfam family "5.8S ribosomal RNA", at positions 1 to 49 of the family's 154-position model. Lineage: Eukaryota; Fungi. The record is from RNAcentral.